AAUGGUCAAUUGUUCUUCCAACACAAACAAGAGAAUGGAACAUUAAAGAUGGUGAUUUACAUGAUAUACCUCUCGAAGAAGAACUUGUCACAUUCACCGCACUAGAAGAUAAUGAUGAAGUUGAUGAUGAUUGUAUUUGUUUCCGUGAAAACGGUGAAGGAUUAUGGGUUGAUGAUAAUGGGUCUUGAGAUGGAGGGUGAUCCAUUUGGUGGUAGUUCUGAUGAGGGGGAGCAUCGCCCUCAUUCUUAGUCAGUGGAACAAGAACAAAAAACUGCGAGAGGACGUACAUGGAUGUCUAAAAACACCAAAAAAAGGAGUGAAGGACAUCUUGCACCUGUUGAAUACAACGAGUAUGGUCAAAUAGUUGGUGAGACUAGAAGCAAUGUUUCAUCACAACUUGGAGCUAUUGUUCGAGCCACUGUGU
Humulus lupulus (European hop) is the source of this 424-nucleotide long non-coding RNA. RefSeq lists it as uncharacterized. NCBI's taxonomy places the organism in Eukaryota, Viridiplantae, Streptophyta, Magnoliopsida, Rosales, Cannabaceae. The record is from RefSeq and is a predicted model, not a curated record. The transcript has 2 exons.